AUACGGAAAUGGACUAACUAAUGAGUAUGACACCGUGUGCACACUCAAUGCCCAAGAUAGAUACAUUUUGUCAAAAGUCCACCUCGCAUCACUCGCAGCUGAUACACAUAUAGAAGCUGAGAUUGUCUCUGCCAUGUGCUUCAUCCUUAACUAGCAAAAGAUUAAAAGGUUUCAAGAAGAAGUAUACUUGUUGUAGAACAUAGCCAUUGGAAAUCAUCCAAAUGGGAAAUUCUUACAACCUAAAAGCAAUAAGCCAUUCAGGGUGGAAGACUACCCAAUGUUUAUUCACUUCUUGGAGCUAAAAAAAUUAGCAUCACAUCCACAUGUAAGUUUUCAUUUGUAAAACUUCUUAGUACCAUUCUUUACUUAUAUGGCAAAUAAAAUAAAACACUGUUCAAUGUGGGCAUGCUUCAGAUUUUUGCACCUGUUUGCCAUUCACAACAUUGGUGGUUAUGGGUGGCUGAUACAAGAAA
Arachis ipaensis is the source of this 473-nucleotide non-coding RNA. The record is from RefSeq and is a predicted model, not a curated record. Lineage: Eukaryota; Viridiplantae; Streptophyta; Magnoliopsida; Fabales; Fabaceae.